GCCUACGGCCAUACCCACCUGAAAGCGCCCGAUCUCGUCUGAUCUCGGAAGCUAAGCAGGGGAUGGGCUUGGUUUAGUACCUGGAUGGGAGACCGCCUGGGAAUACCAGGUGUUGUAGGCU
RNAcentral lists this ribosomal RNA (121 nucleotides) under Xenopus tropicalis (tropical clawed frog). Lineage: Eukaryota; Metazoa; Chordata; Amphibia; Anura; Pipidae. The record is from RNAcentral.